RNAcentral lists this ribosomal RNA (21 nucleotides) under Monactis pallatangensis. RNAcentral's name for it is "partial 18S ribosomal RNA". Lineage: Eukaryota; Viridiplantae; Streptophyta; Magnoliopsida; Asterales; Asteraceae. The record is from RNAcentral.
GUAACCUGCGGAAGGACAUUG